GCGGCGCGGUGAGUAACACGUGGGUAACCUACCUAUAAGACUGGGAUAACUUCGGGAAACCGGAGCUAAUACCGGAUAAUAUUUCGAACCGCAUGGUUCGAUAGUGAAAGAUGGUUUUGCUAUCACUUAUAGAUGGACCCGCGCCGUAUUAGCUAGUUGGUAAGGUAACGGCUUACCAAGGCGACGAUACGUAGCCGACCUGAGAGGGUGAUCGGCCACACUGGAACUGAGACACGGUCCAGACUCCUACGGGAGGCAGCAGC
Molecule: ribosomal RNA, 263 nt
Filed under: uncultured Staphylococcus sp.
Lineage: Bacteria; Bacillati; Bacillota; Bacilli; Caryophanales; Staphylococcaceae
Description: partial 16S ribosomal RNA
Rfam family: Bacterial small subunit ribosomal RNA
Source: RNAcentral